AGAAUCAACGCUGGCGGCGUGCCUCAGACAUGCAAGUCGAACGCGAAAGUCCCCUUCGGGGGACAAGUAGAGUGGCGCACGGGUGGGUAACACGUAGGUAAUCUACCUUCGGAUGGGGAAUAACAACCGGAAACGGUUGCUAAUACCGCAUAAUGCAGCGGCACCUAACGGUGACAGUUGUUAAAGCGGGGGAUCGAAAGACCUCGCGUCUGAAGAGGAGCCUGCGGCGGAUUAGCUAGUUGGUAGGGUAACGGCCUACCAAGGCGACGAUCCGUA
RNAcentral lists this ribosomal RNA (276 nucleotides) under uncultured soil bacterium. RNAcentral's name for it is "partial 16S ribosomal RNA". It matches the Rfam family "Bacterial small subunit ribosomal RNA", at positions 26 to 285 of the family's 1533-position model. The record is from RNAcentral.